GACUGCCGGUGACAAACCGGAGGAAGGUGGGGACGACGUCAAGUCAUCAUGGCCCUUACGGGCAGGGCUACACACGUGCUACAAUGGCCGGUACAGAAGGUCGCGAACCCGUGAGGGGAAGCUAAUCCUCAAAGCCGGUCGUAGUCCGGAUCGAAGUCUGCAACUCGACUUCGUGAAGUCGGAAUCGCUAGUAAUCGCGAAUCAGCAUUGUCGCGGUGAAUACGUUCCCGGGUCUUGUACACACCGCCCGUCACACCAUGGAAGUUGGUUGCACCAGAAGUGGGUAGCCUAACCUUAGGGAGGGCGCUCACCACGGUGUGGCCAGCAACUGGGGUGAAGUCGUAACAAGGUAGCCGUACGGGAACGUGCGGCUGGAUCACCUCCUUU
This 387-nucleotide ribosomal RNA is filed under the name Gammaproteobacteria bacterium. RNAcentral's name for it is "bacterial SSU rRNA". It matches the Rfam family "Bacterial small subunit ribosomal RNA", at positions 1147 to 1533 of the family's 1533-position model. Lineage: Bacteria; Pseudomonadati; Pseudomonadota; Gammaproteobacteria. The record is from RNAcentral.